AAAAACAUCGCCUCUUGACAAAACAUAAGAGGUCCAGCCUGCCCAGUGACAAAGUUCAACGGCCGCGGUACCCUAACCGUGCGAAGGUAGCAUAAUCACUUGUUCUUUAAAUGAGGACUCGUAUCAACGGCACUACGAGGGCUAUACUGUCUCCUUUUUCUAAUCAGUGAAACUGAUCUCCCCGUGAAGAAGCGGGGAUCAAAAUAUAAGACGAGAAGACCCCAUGGAGCUUUAAACUCAUCACGCACCUCUGUGCCCUCAUACCCUUAAACACAAGAGAUCUACGUGCUAGUUUUAGGUUGGGGGGACCACGGAGUAUAACUUAACCUCCAUAACAAAUGGGCUAACACCCUUAUCCAUGAGACACAGCUCUAAGAAUUACUAAACUAAUGCUUAUGACCCGAUAUUCGAUCAAUGAACCAAGUUACCCUGGGGAUAACAGCGCAAUCUACUUCAAGAGCCCAUAUCGACAAGUAGGUUUACGACCUCGAUGUUGGAUCAGGGUAUCCCGGUGGUGCAACCGCUACCGAUGGUUCGUUUGUUCAACGAUUAAAACCCUACGUGAUCU
Molecule: ribosomal RNA, 568 nt
Filed under: Rana temporaria (common frog)
Lineage: Eukaryota; Metazoa; Chordata; Amphibia; Anura; Ranidae
Description: partial 16S ribosomal RNA
Rfam family: Bacterial large subunit ribosomal RNA
Source: RNAcentral